AAAAGAAAGGAGAGUCAGACAAUAGGCAGGAAGAGAGGAAAAAAGAAGAAGAAAUAUGUAGAGACCAAGACAGGAGAUGGAGAUAGAGAUACAGGUAGGGAGGUAGAGGUAGAGAUAGAGACAGAGACGGUGAUUAAAGAAGUGGAAUUGAUAAGAUGAAACCAACUAUCUAGUAUACUUUUUCAAUCAUGAGAAUUUAAAAUUGGAUUGAAUGGGAAGAUCAAUAUGAUGAAUUGUGGAUUUAUCUAUCAUUUUGUUCAAUUUCAAUUUUCAUGCCCAUUUUGAAUUAUUUAACGGAUGAUAUGAUUCUGAUAACUAUGACCAUAUCCAAUACAUCUACUGUAUUCAAGAUAAUUCCCCAUCACAAAUUUUUCUUGGCAAAAUUACAGGUACUUUAUGCAAUAUGAGGUGCUAAAUCCAACUCAAUAUGCGUGGGAUUUGUCUACAUCUAUUUUGUGUCAAUGAUAGCAAUCCAAGUUCCUUCUCAGUCAAUGCUCGACAAAAAAGGUGACCGGGUAAGGGGGAGGGGGUGUGGUGCGGGGGUGCAGGGUGCAAGAGAGGGGCAGUUGAUCCAUUACUUCACUUGAAUUGAUCACACAAAAAUAUCAAAGAUCACUUCCCACUGAAAACUUGUUUGUAACUUGAUAACAAUAAUAUUAGCAUUAUUUAUUGUGAAAUUAUUCACAGAAGCAGCUUGGAACAUUAAGGAACAACAAAAAAUCACUUACAAAUCAGAAGCAAGGGCAUCACCUCCAGGGCUGUCAAUCCGAAUAAUAACAGCUUUAUAUCUUUUCGUCUCUCUUACUUGUUGAAUCUUCUCAAUGAAUUGCUCCCCAAUGAUACCAGAGCUUGGUAAACUUAAUGGACUCCGUACACGACUAAUGCUCCCAGAGGCCCUGAUCACAGCAAUUUGGUCCUUACCACCAGUUAAACCAAGUGUCCAAUUCCUCACUCGCGAGUAUUUCCCGUAGUCAACCAUAGGAAGAAUUUUAUCCUUUUCGACUCCGAGUUUCUCUUUCAACAUUGAGAUA
This 1031-nucleotide unclassified non-coding RNA is filed under the name Hevea brasiliensis (rubber tree). The record is from RNAcentral. Lineage: Eukaryota; Viridiplantae; Streptophyta; Magnoliopsida; Malpighiales; Euphorbiaceae.